This 253-nucleotide ribosomal RNA is filed under the name uncultured bacterium. RNAcentral describes it as "partial 16S ribosomal RNA". It matches the Rfam family "Bacterial small subunit ribosomal RNA", at positions 524 to 776 of the family's 1533-position model. The record is from RNAcentral.
GACGUACCGUCCAAACGUUAUUCGGAAUUACUGGGCUUAAAGGGUGCGUAGGCGGUCCGCUAAGUUGGGUGUGAAAGACCUCGGCCUAACCGAGGAAAUGCGCCCAAAACUGUCGGACUCGAGCAAGGCAGAGGUGAACGGAACUUAGGGUGGAGCGGUGAAAUGCGUUGAUAUCCUAAGGAACACCAGUAGCGAAAGCGGUUCACUGGGCCUUUUCUGACGCUGAUGCACGAAAGCCAGGGGAGCGAACGGG